AACGAAUGCUGGCGGCAGGCUUAACACAUGCAAGUCGAACGCAUCGCAAGAUGAGUGGCAGACGGGUGAGUAACGCGUGGGAACAUACCCUUUUCUACGGAAUAGCUCUGGGAAACUGGAAUUAAUACCGUAUACACCCUUUACUGGUGGACAGUUUAGGGGAAAGAUUUAUCGGGGAAGGAUUGGCCCGCGUUGGAUUAGCUAGUUGGUGGGGUAACGGCCUACCAAGGCGACGAUCCAUAGCUGGUCUGAGAGGAUGAUCAGCCACAUUGGGACUGAGACACGGCCCAAACUCCUACGGGAGGCAGCAGUGGGGAAUAUUGGACAAUGGGCGCAAGCCUGAUCCAGCCAUGCCGCGUGAGUGAUGAAGGCCUUAGGGUUGUAAAGCUCUUUCACCGAUGAAGAUAAUGACGGUAGUCGGAGAAGAAGCCCCGGCUAACUUCGUGCCAGCCGCCGCCGUAA
Molecule: ribosomal RNA, 462 nt
Filed under: uncultured bacterium
Lineage: Bacteria
Description: partial 16S ribosomal RNA
Rfam family: Bacterial small subunit ribosomal RNA
Source: RNAcentral